This 520-nucleotide ribosomal RNA is filed under the name uncultured bacterium. RNAcentral describes it as "bacterial SSU rRNA". It matches the Rfam family "Bacterial small subunit ribosomal RNA", at positions 8 to 526 of the family's 1533-position model. The record is from RNAcentral.
AGAGUUUGAUCAUGGCUCAGAUUGAACGCUGGCGGCAUGCCUUACACAUGCAAGUCGAACGGUAACGCGGGGCAACCUGGCGACGAGUGGCGAACGGGUGAGUAAUACAUCGGAACGUGCCCAGUAGUGGGGGAUAGCCCGGCGAAAGCCGGAUUAAUACCGCAUACGACCUACGGGUGAAAGCGGGGGACCGCAAGGCCUCGCGCUAUUGGAGCGGCCGAUGUCAGAUUAGCUAGUUGGUGGGGUAAAGGCCUACCAAGGCGACGAUCUGUAGCUGGUCUGAGAGGACGACCAGCCACACUGGGACUGAGACACGGCCCAGACUCCUACGGGAGGCAGCAGUGGGGAAUUUUGGACAAUGGGGGCAACCCUGAUCCAGCCAUGCCGCGUGCGGGAAGAAGGCCUUCGGGUUGUAAACCGCUUUUGUCGGGGAAGAAACGGUCUGCGUAAUACCGCGGGCUAAUGACGGUACCCGAAGAAUAAGCACCGGCUAACUACGUGCCAGCAGCCGCGGUAAUAC